UGGCGGGAAUGGUGGGAAAAUGGGAAGGGAAAGGGUUGGGAAUGCUGGGAAUGGGAGGAGCGGCGCUGGGGUGGGGGGAAAGGUUGAGCUGGGAGCGGGGCAGAGAAGGGAAAUGGAAGGUUCUGGAAUGGGAUCGGGGGAUCCCAGGGAAUGGGGAUCCAGGGAAUCCCAGGGAAUGGGGAUCCCAGGGAAUGGGGAUCCCAGGGAAUCCCAGGGAAUGGGAAUCCAGGGAAUGGGGAUCCCAGGGAAUGGUUUUGUACUCGAUGAGUUUCUCGGUGCCGUGGUGCAGCAGCCCCAGGUGGGGGAAUGGGAUCUCAGGGAUCCCAGGGAUUGGGAAUCUGAGGGAAUGGGAAUCCAGGGAAUCUCAGGGAUUGGGAAUCUGAGGGAAUAGGGAUCCAGGGAAUCUCAGGGAUUGGGAAUCCAGGGAAAUGGGAAUCCAGGGAAUUCUGCAGUCACCUGCAGGUAGGUUUUGUACUCGAUGAGUUUCUCGGUGCCGCGGUGCAGCAGCCCCACAUGGGGGGCACAGGGAAAUGGGAACCCCAGGGAUGGGAAUCUCAGGGAUUGGGAAUCCAGGGAAUUCCAGGGAUUGGGAAACCAGGGAAAUGGGAAUCCAGGGAAUUGUGCAGUCACCUGCAGGUAUGUUUUGUACUCGAUGAGUUUCUCGGUGCCGCGGUGCAGCAGCCCCACGUGGGGGUCGCAGCGUUUCACCGUCUCCCCGCUCAGCUCCAGCACCAGCCGCAGGACCCCGUGAGCCGCCGGGUGCUGAGGCCCAAAGUUGAUGGUGAGGCUGGAAACCUUCUUGUGAGCCAGGGGGUCCUUGUCUGGGGACAUGGGGACACCGUCAGGGACAGCUCGGGGACACAGGGACACCAUCAGGGACAGCUCAGGGACAUGGGGACAGCUCAGGGACAGCUCAGGGACACGGGGACAGGGUCAGGGACAUGGGGACAGGGUCAGGGACACGGGGACACCGUCAGGGACAGCUCAGGGACAGAGGGACACCAUCAGGGACAUGGGGACAGGGACGUGGGGACACCGUCAGGGACAGCUUGGGGACACGGGGACAGCUCAGGGACAUGGGGACAGCUCAGGAACAUGGGGACAGGGUCAGGGACAUGGGGACAGCUCGGGGACACAGGGACAGAGUCAGGGACAUGGGGACAGCUCAGGGACAGCUCGGGGACAUGGGGACAGGGUCAGGGACAUGGGGACACCGUCAGGGACAGCUCGGGGACACAGGGACACCAUCAGGGACAUGGGGACAGGGUCAGGGACACGGGGACAGCUCGGGGACACGGGGACAGGGUCAGGGACAGCUUGGGGACACCAUCAGGGACAGCUCAGGGACAUGGGGACAGGGACAUGGGGACACCGUCAGGGACAGCUCGGGGACACGGGGACACCAUCAGGGACAGCUCAGGGACAUGGGGACAGCUCAGGGACAUGGGGACAGGGUCAGGGACAUGGGGACACCGUCAGGGACAGCUUGGGGACAUUGGGACAGGGUCAGGGACACAGGGACAGCUCGGGGACAUGGG
This 1538-nucleotide long non-coding RNA is filed under the name Cyanistes caeruleus (blue tit). RNAcentral describes it as "lncRNA (ENSCCEG00000005090.1)". The record is from RNAcentral. Lineage: Eukaryota; Metazoa; Chordata; Aves; Passeriformes; Paridae.